CUACUACUCCCUCCGUCCGAAAAUACUUGUCAUUGAAAUGGAUGUAUCUAGAUGUAUUUUAGUUCUAGACACAUCCAUUUUGAUGACAAGUAAUUCCGGACGGAGGGAGUAUUAU
Non-coding RNA from Triticum aestivum (bread wheat), 115 nucleotides. NCBI's taxonomy places the organism in Eukaryota, Viridiplantae, Streptophyta, Magnoliopsida, Poales, Poaceae. The record is from Rfam.